GAUGAACGCUGGCGGCGUGCUUAACACAUGCAAGUCGAACGAAGCAUUUAAGACAGAUUACUUCGGUUUUAAGUCUUUUAUGACUGAGUGGCGGACGGGUGAGUAACGCGUGGGUAACCAGCCUCAUACAGGGGGAUAGCAGCUGGAAACGGCUGGUAAUACCGCAAAAGCGCACAGUACCACAUGGUACAGUGUGAAAAACUCCGGUGGUAUGAGAUGGACCCGCGUCUGAUUAGCUUGUUGGCGGGGUAACGGCCCACCAAGGCGACGAUCAGUAGCCGAGAUGAGAGGGGGACCCGACACCUUGGGACUGAGACACGGCACAGACUCCUACGGGAGGGAAGAGUGGGGGAUAUUGCAAAAUGGAGGGAACUAUGAUGGAGCGACGACGGGUGAGUUCAGAAGUAAUUGAAUAUGUAAAGCUCAAUUAACAGGGAAGGUAGUGACGGUACCUAACUAAGAAGCCCCGGCUAAAUACGUG
This 481-nucleotide ribosomal RNA is filed under the name uncultured bacterium. RNAcentral's name for it is "partial 16S ribosomal RNA". It matches the Rfam family "Bacterial small subunit ribosomal RNA", at positions 28 to 507 of the family's 1533-position model. The record is from RNAcentral.